GUCUAUGGCCAUACCAACCUGAACGUGCCCGAUCUCGUCUGAUCUCAGAAGCUAAGCAGGGUCGGGCCUGGUUAGUACUUAGUACUUGGAUGGGAGACAACAAGACAAGAGCUGGGUU
This 118-nucleotide ribosomal RNA is filed under the name Octodon degus (degu). The record is from RNAcentral. Lineage: Eukaryota; Metazoa; Chordata; Mammalia; Rodentia; Octodontidae.